UUUGGGGAUCUGGAGCUGGACUCUGGCUCGAUCUACAAGGCGUUUUCGCAUGCUCCUCUCUUUUGCCUUGUGUUAUUUCUUUCUUUUUCUCUUGGAUUUUGUCAUUUAGAUGGAUAAUGUUGGAUUUGUUCUCUUGUUUGUUCAAUUUUGUAAAUUUCUCCGUUUGAUUGUUCGAUCAUGUCUCUUGAUUAUUCUCUUAGAUCUGAAAUAUAUAUUUUUUGCCUCCUUCUCUUUUAUCUUAACAUUAUGUGGUUCUAGAUCUGCUCUCACACCUUUAAGCAUGUUGACAUCUUCUCUCAACAUCAUCCUCUUCCGUGCUCGAUGCGAUUGGGGCCAUAAUCGCUCGCCGCGCCUUCAAGAACCUUUGAAGCAUCUGACAUUCUCAAACCCUAAUAUUGGUUCAGAUCUGUCAAGACCCCUAAAGUUGGUGAUGAAGAAUUAAGGCAAUGACAUAUGAAAAGAUGAAUCUGCAACAGAUUUCAAGUUAGAGGGCGGGCUGGCGCAGUGGUGAAGUCCUCCCCACUUGUCCGUUCUGGAUUUGAACCAGCCUCUCUGCAUUGCGCUUCGCAUGGGCAAAACAAGGUUCCUAUGAUCCCUCCCUAGACCCCAUCUUGUGUGAGAGCUUCUAUGCACUUGAAAUCCCUGACAAUAUCAGCAAGCCAACGGGGAAGAGUGCCAAUGCUCCUUCAGAAUCUCCACGGCAUGAUCAACGGCAUAUAUUAUCAUCUUCUUCACCUGCGCCAAAUAGAAGGUAAGGUUGUCAAGUAACGGCUCAUGGUUAUCGAUGCAAUUAUUUACAAGUAAAAUUAGUCAAUAUGCAUCGGAAAAGAUAAUGUGUGUUCUUUGUUGCAACAUACAUCAAAAUUCAAAUCGUAUGAUCAGCCCUAAAUUUCGGCCCAACUAAAAGCCCACCUGAAACAGUACCACUCUGAUGCCCUAAUCCACUCUUCUCCAGAAAUUACAUAUCUUUGCAAAGGUUACCCCAAAAUGCAUUAGUGCCGACACGUGGUGGGUUUUCUCUACAAAUUUACGGGUUUUUUUACCAUCGGAAGAGAAAAGGCAUGUUAUCUCUAAAUUUAAAAACGUUUUCACCUUGCAUUUCCUUUCAUUACGCGUUUGAUAGCCUGCAUACAGCCCAGGCCCACUGGAUGCAGCUUUUUUGGUUAUAUGCAAACACAGUUGGGCCUGCACGGCACGAUAGUAUCCAGCAGGCCCGAGUUAUGCUCUCGAGCCCACGUGGAUGGCUCUGACAACACUUUGCAGGUAUUUUCCUAUAAUCACCUUUUAAUCUCCUUCAUCGCUUCUACAUAAUCAUGCUUCGAUUCAGGAAAAGUUAUACACAAAAAAUAUGCACCUCGAUGUUCUAAUUCCAUUCAAGCGAUCGGAUCAUAGUUUCGUUCACUGUAUGUGUUGAAUUUCGUGUUCAUAUUUGAAUCUUUUUUGGACAAACUUUGACAAAUUCAUGGCAGACGGUUGACCGUUUGAAGUUUCCUUUGACUAGUAGCUUCACCUCGCUGUCUGACACAACUUUCGUGUUGUGGGUUUUUCAUUUCACAAAUCAUAGAUGAAUAGAUCUGCAUACGACCAGUGUACUGUAAUCACUGUAAUCGAUUCCUAAUCACCCUCCUAUUCUCCUUCAUUCGUAAUCUCGUUCACCAGUCUCUUCUAAUCUACACAACCGUGCAUCGAUUUGAUAUAAGUUGUACAUGGAAAAGAUGCACGGCGUUGUUGUGGUUCCAUUCAGACAAUUGGUUCGUAAUGUAGAUGUUCAAUUUCAUGUUUAUGUUUGAAGCUAUUUUGGAUGAAUUUCGAUACAUUCAUCAUGUACUGUUCACCGUUUGAGUUUUCCUUCGACGGUAGGGAUUGAAGAACUGCCAACCUGGUACCUUGUGAAGGCGUGUGUGCGCCGUAGUCAGCAUCGUCGCCGACCUUGUGCCAUGCGGGAAGCUUCGAUGGCAUCUCGCCGCCAGUCUCGUUCUACAAUUAGGUGUGGCUGCCGGCGUCGGUUUGUUUGGCUUUAGUUGCGACGUGGAGGUAGCCCUUGUGCCCUGCCUCUGCUGGUACACCGACAUCGACCAAUAGUCAUGCCCCUGGUUGUCGUAGUCGUCCCGCCUGUGGUCACCGAAGCACUCGUGUGCAUUCUACUGUAAUCUCUAUGUUCAAGUGUAGUUAUCAACUCCUAAUCACCAUACAUGUAUGCAACCAAACAUCAGGUGAAAUUUGUUUUCAUGAUGACAAGACCUCAUAUGCAGGCAACCAAACAACAUGCAAACGUCGUGUUUUA
Molecule: long non-coding RNA, 2284 nt
Organism: Triticum dicoccoides
Lineage: Eukaryota; Viridiplantae; Streptophyta; Magnoliopsida; Poales; Poaceae
Exons: 3
Source: RefSeq, a predicted model, not a curated record